This 426-nucleotide ribosomal RNA is filed under the name uncultured bacterium. RNAcentral describes it as "bacterial SSU rRNA". It matches the Rfam family "Bacterial small subunit ribosomal RNA", at positions 354 to 796 of the family's 1533-position model. The record is from RNAcentral.
GUGAGGAAUUUUCCGCAAUGGGCGAAAGCCUGACGGAGCAAUGCCGCGUGAAGGAUGAAGGCCUAUGGGUUGUAAACUUCUUUUCUCAGAAAAGAAUUAUGACGGUAUCUGAGGAAUAAGCAUCGGCUAACUCUGUGCCAGCAGCCGCGGUAAGACAGAGGAUGCAAGCGUUAUCCGGAAUGAUUGGGCGUAAAGCGUCUGUAGGUUGUUUAAAAAGUAUUCUGUCAAAGAUUAGGGCUUAACCCUAGAUAGGCAGAAUAAACUUUUAAGCUAGAGUUUGGUAGAGGCAGAGGGAAUUCCCGGUGGAGCGGUGAAAUGCGUAGAGAUCGGGAGGAACACCAAAGGCGAAGGCACUCUGCUGGGCCAAUACUAACACUGAGAGACGAAAGCGAGGGGAGCAAAUGGGAUUAGAAACCCUGGUAGUCC